Molecule: ribosomal RNA, 1434 nt
Filed under: metagenome
Description: bacterial SSU rRNA
Rfam family: Archaeal small subunit ribosomal RNA
Source: RNAcentral
UCCUGUUGAUCCUGCAGGAGAUUGCUGCUAUCAGGAUUCGACUAAGCCAUGCAAGUCCAGGGGUUCUUCGGAACACCGGCGAAAUGCUCAGUAACACGUUGAUAAUCUGCCCUUUGGUCUGGGAUAACCUCGGGAAACUGGGGCUAACACCGGAUAGAAAAUUCGUUCUGGAAAGAAUUGUUUUCUAAAGGCAACGCCAAAGGAUGAGUCAGCGGCGGAUUAGGUUGUUGGUGGGGUAAAGGCCCACCAAGCCUACGAUCCGUAGGGGCCUUGAAAGAGGUAGCCCCGAGAAGGGAACUGAGAUACUGUCCCUAGCCCUACGGGGUGCAGCAGGCGCGAAACCUCUACAAUGCACGCAAGUGUGAUAGGGGGAUCCUGAGUGCUCAGCUCUGCUGGGCUUUUGCUAAGAGUAAAAAUCUUGGCGAAUAAGUGGUGGGUAAGACUGGUGCCAGCCGCCGCGGUAACACCAGCGCCACGAGUGGUAAUCGUUAUUAUUGGGCCUAAAGCGUCCGUAGCAGGUCUUGUAAAUCUCUUGUGAAAUUGUUGCGCUCAACGUAACACCGUGCAAGAGACACUGCAAGACUCGGGACCGGGAGGGGUUAGAGGUAUUCCUUGGGGAGCGGUAAAAUGCUAUAAUCCAAGGAGGACCACCUAUGGCGAAGGCAUCUAACCAGAACGGAUCCGACUGUGAGGGACGAAAGCUAGGGGAGCGAACCGGAUUAGAUACCCGAGUAGUCCUAGCCGUAAACGCUGCGAGCUAGGUGUUGCACAAUCUACGGGAUUGUGCAGUAUCGAAGCGAAGGCGAUAAGCUCGCCGCCUGGGAAGUACGGUCGCAAGGCUGAAACUUAAAGGAAUUGGCGGGGGAGCACUACAAGGGGUGCGGCGUGCGGUUUAAUCUAACUCCACACAGAGAAUCUCACCAGAAGCGACGGCAGAAUGAAAGUCAGAUUGAAGGUUUUACUUGACGAGCCGAGAGGUGGUGCAUGGCCGCCGUCAGCUCGUGCCGUGAGGUGUCCAGCUAAGCCUGGUAACGAGCGAGACCUGCGUCCACAAUUGCUAACAGGUGCUUUUGCAUGACUGUGCACAUUGUGGAGACUGCCUUGGAAACAAGGAGGAAGGUGCAGGCUACGGUAGGUCUGUAUGCCCCGAAUCUUCUGGGCUACACGCGCGCAACAAUGGUAAGGACAAUGGGCUGCGACUCCGAAAGGAGAAGCUAAUCCUCCAAACCUUAUCCAAGUCCAGAUUGAGGGUUGUAACUCACCCUCAUGACGAUGGAAUCCCUAGUAAUCGGGUAUUAGCAGUGCCCGGUGAAUACGUUCCUGCUCCUUGCACACACCGCCCGUCAAACCACUCGAGCAGGGUUUAGAUGAGGUGCAGUUCUUUGAUUGUAUCGAAUCUAAGCUCAGUGAGAAGGGUUAAGUCGUCACAAGGUA